CAGUCGCCACGGGAAUACGAGGGGGGCAAGCGUUGUUCGGAAUUACUGGGCGUAAAGCGCACGUAGGCGGCUUUGUAAGUUAGAGGUGAAAGCCUGGGGCUAAACUCCAGAAUUGCCUUUAAGACUGCAUCGCUUGAACGUCGGAGAGGUGAGUGGAAUUCCGAGUGUAGAGGUGAAAUUCGUAGAUAUUCGGAAGAACACCAGUGGCGAAGGCGGCUCACUGGACGACUGUUGACGCUGAGGUGCGAAAGCGUGGGGAGCAAACAGGAUUAGAUACCCCAGUAGUCCCUGUCUCUUAUAC
RNAcentral lists this ribosomal RNA (301 nucleotides) under uncultured bacterium. RNAcentral describes it as "partial 16S ribosomal RNA". It matches the Rfam family "Bacterial small subunit ribosomal RNA", at positions 509 to 807 of the family's 1533-position model. The record is from RNAcentral.